UGGGGAAUUUUGGACAAUGGGCGAAAGCCUGAUCCAGCAAUGCCGCGUGUGUGAAGAAGGCCUUCGGGUUGUAAAGCACUUUUGUCCGGAAAGAAAUCCUUGGCUCUAAUACAGUCGGGGGAUGACGGUACCGGAAGAAUAAGCACCGGCUAACUACGUGCCAGCAGCCGCGGUAAUACGUAGGGUGCAAGCGUUAAUCGGAAUUACUGGGCGUAAAGCGUGCGCAGGCGGUUUGCUAAGACCGAUGUGAAAUCCCCGGGCUCAACCUGGGAACUGCAUUGGUGACUGGGCAGGCUAGAGUAUGGCAGGAGGGGGGUAGAAUUCCACGUGUAGCAGUGAAAUGCGUAGAGAUGUGGAGGAAUACCGAUGGCGAAGGCAGCCCCCUGGGCCAAUACUGACGCUCAUGCACGAAAGCGUGGGGGAGCAAAACAGGAUUAGAUACCCUGGGUAGUCCACGCCCUAAAACGAUGUCAACUAGUUGUU
This 483-nucleotide ribosomal RNA is filed under the name uncultured bacterium. RNAcentral's name for it is "partial 16S ribosomal RNA". It matches the Rfam family "Bacterial small subunit ribosomal RNA", at positions 355 to 824 of the family's 1533-position model. The record is from RNAcentral.